Molecule: ribosomal RNA, 475 nt
Filed under: Flavobacterium sp. WB3.3-50
Lineage: Bacteria; Pseudomonadati; Bacteroidota; Flavobacteriia; Flavobacteriales; Flavobacteriaceae
Description: bacterial SSU rRNA
Rfam family: Bacterial small subunit ribosomal RNA
Source: RNAcentral
AUCCUGGCUCAGGAUGAACGCUAGCGGCAGGCUUAACACAUGCAAGUCGAGGGGUAUAGUUCUUCGGAAUUAGAGACCGGCGCACGGGUGCGUAACGCGUAUGCAAUCUACCUUUUACAGAGGGAUAGCCCAGAGAAAUUUGGAUUAAUACCUCAUAGUAUGCAGAGUCGGCAUCGACACUGCAUUAAAGUCACAACGGUAAAAGAUGAGCAUGCGUCCCAUUAGCUAGUUGGUAAGGUAACGGCUUACCAAGGCUACGAUGGGUAGGGGUCCUGAGAGGGAGAUCCCCCACACUGGUACUGAGACACGGACCAGACUCCUACGGGAGGCAGCAGUGAGGAAUAUUGGACAAUGGGCGCAAGCCUGAUCCAGCCAUGCCGCGUGCAGGAUGACGGUCCUAUGGAUUGUAAACUGCUUUUGUACAGGAAGAAACAACUCUACGUGUAGAGUCUUGACGGUACUGUAAGAAUAAGGA